UACGGAGGGUGCGAGCGUUGUCCGGAAUCACUGGGCGUAAAGGGCGCGUAGGCGGUCUGUUAAGCGUGUGGUGAAAGCUCGGGGCUCAACCCCGAGUCUGCCAUGCGAACUGGUGGACUUGAGCACUGUAGAGGCAGGUGGAAUUCCGGGUGUAGCGGUGGAAUGCGUAGAGAUCCGGAAGAACACCGGUGGCGAAGGCGGCCUGCUGGGCAGUUGCUGACGCUGAGGCGCGACAGCGUGGGGAGCAAACAGGAUUAGAUACCCUGGUAGUCCACGCCGUAAACGAUGGGCACUAGGUGCUUGGGGGAGCGACCCCCCGAGUGCCGGCGCUAACGCAUUAAGUGCCCCGCCUGGGGAGUACGACCGCAAGGUUGAA
RNAcentral lists this ribosomal RNA (376 nucleotides) under uncultured bacterium. RNAcentral's name for it is "bacterial SSU rRNA". It matches the Rfam family "Bacterial small subunit ribosomal RNA", at positions 524 to 898 of the family's 1533-position model. The record is from RNAcentral.